AACGAACGCUGGCGGCGUGGAUAAGACAUGCAAGUCGAACGGGAAUUCAUUUAUAGCAAUAUGAAGGAAUUCUAGUGGCGAAAGGGUGCGUAACACGUAGCUACCUACCUCGAAGUUGGGGAUAGCUCGGCGAAAGCCGGAUUAAUACCGAAUGUGAUCGUGAGAUCAAAGUUGGGGAUCGUAAGACCUGACGCUUUGAGAUGGGGCUGCGGCCUAUCAGGUUGUUGGCGGGGUAAUGGCCCACCAAGCCUAAGACGGGUAGCUGGUCUGAGAGGACGACCAGCCACACUGGAACUGAGACACGGUCCAGACACCUACGGGUGGCUG
RNAcentral lists this ribosomal RNA (327 nucleotides) under uncultured Verrucomicrobiota bacterium. Its description in RNAcentral is "bacterial SSU rRNA". It matches the Rfam family "Bacterial small subunit ribosomal RNA", at positions 29 to 351 of the family's 1533-position model. Lineage: Bacteria; Pseudomonadati; Verrucomicrobiota. The record is from RNAcentral.